Molecule: ribosomal RNA, 986 nt
Filed under: biofilm metagenome
Description: bacterial LSU rRNA
Rfam family: Bacterial large subunit ribosomal RNA
Source: RNAcentral
ACGGUCCUAAGGUAGCGAAAUUCCUUGUCGGGUAAGUUCCGACCUGCACGAAUGGCGUAACGAUGGCGGCGCUGUCUCCACCCGAGACUCAGUGAAAUUGAAAUCGCUGUGAAGAUGCAGUGUAUCCGCGGCUAGACGGAAAGACCCCGUGAACCUUUACUAUAGCUUUGCACUGGACUUUGAAUUUGCUUGUGUAGGAUAGGUGGGAGGCUUUGAAGCGUGGACGCCAGUCUGCGUGGAGCCAACCUUGAAAUACCACCCUGGCAACUUUGAGGUUCUAACUCAGGUCCGUUAUCCGGAUCGAGGACAGUGUAUGGUGGGUAGUUUGACUGGGGCGGUCUCCUCCUAAAGAGUAACGGAGGAGUACGAAGGUGCGCUCAGACCGGUCGGAAAUCGGUCGUAGAGUAUAAAGGCAAAAGCGCGCUUGACUGCGAGACAGACACGUCGAGCAGGUACGAAAGUAGGUCUUAGUGAUCCGGUGGUUCUGUAUGGAAGGGCCAUCGCUCAACGGAUAAAAGGUACUCCGGGGAUAACAGGCUGAUACCGCCCAAGAGUUCAUAUCGACGGCGGUGUUUGGCACCUCGAUGUCGGCUCAUCACAUCCUGGGGCUGAAGUAGGUCCCAAGGGUAUGGCUGUUCGCCAUUUAAAGUGGUACGCGAGCUGGGUUUAGAACGUCGUGAGACAGUUCGGUCCCUAUCUGCCGUGGACGUUGGAGAUUUGAGAGGGGCUGCUCCUAGUACGAGAGGACCGGAGUGGACGAACCUCUGGUGUUCCGGUUGUCACGCCAGUGGCAUUGCCGGGUAGCUAUGUUCGGAAGAGAUAACCGCUGAAAGCAUCUAAGCGGGAAACUAGCCUCAAGAUGAGAUCUCACUGGAACCUUGAGUUCCCUGAAGGGCCGUCGAAGACUACGACGUUGAUAGGUUGGGUGUGUAAGCGCUGUGAGGCGUUGAGCUAACCAAUACUAAUUGCCCGUGAGGCUUGACCAU